RNAcentral lists this ribosomal RNA (497 nucleotides) under uncultured bacterium. RNAcentral describes it as "partial 16S ribosomal RNA". It matches the Rfam family "Bacterial small subunit ribosomal RNA", at positions 28 to 507 of the family's 1533-position model. The record is from RNAcentral.
GAUGAACGCUGGCGGCGUGCCUAAUACAUGCAAGUCGAGCGAACAGACGAGGAGCUUGCUCCUCUGACGUUAGCGGCGGACGGGUGAGUAACACGUGGAUAACCUACCUAUAAGACUGGGAUAACUUCGGGAAACCGGAGCUAAUACCGGAUAAUAUAUUGAACCGCAUGGUUCAAUAGUGAAAGACGGUUUUGCUGUCACUUAUAGAUGGAUCCGCGCCGCAUUAGCUAGUUGGUAAGGUAACGGCUUACCAAGGCAACGAUGCGUAGCCGACCUGAGAGGGUGAUCGGCCACACUGGAACUGAGACACGGUCCAGACUCCUACGGGAGGCAGCAGUAGGGAAUCUUCCGCAAUGGGCGAAAGCCUGACGGAGCAACGCCGCGUGAGUGAUGAAGGUCUUCGGAUCGUAAAACUCUGUUAUUAGGGAAGAACAAAUGUGUAAGUAACUAUGCACGGCUUGACGGUACCUAAGCAGAAAGCCAAGGCUAACUACGUG